Molecule: ribosomal RNA, 356 nt
Filed under: uncultured bacterium
Lineage: Bacteria
Description: partial 16S ribosomal RNA
Rfam family: Bacterial small subunit ribosomal RNA
Source: RNAcentral
CCUACGGGGCGCAGCAGUGGGGAAUAUUGCGCAAUGGGCGAAAGCCUGACGCAGCGACGCCGCGUGAGGGAUGAAGGUCUUCGGAUCGUAAACCUCUGUCAGCAGGGAAGAACGGUCACUGUGCUAAUCAGCAGUGAAUUGACGGUACCUGCAAAGGAAGCACAGGCUAACUCCGUGCCCGCAGCCGCGGUAAUACGGAGGGUGCGAGCGUUAAUCGGAGUUACUGGGCGUAAAGCGCUCGUAGGCGGUAUGUCAAGUCAAGGGGGAAAUCCCCGCGCUCAACGUGGGAACUGCCUUUGAUACUGGCAAACUGGAGAGUGGGAGAGGAUAGUGGAAUGCCAGGUGUAGGGGUGAAA